Molecule: long non-coding RNA, 902 nt
Organism: Lolium rigidum
Lineage: Eukaryota; Viridiplantae; Streptophyta; Magnoliopsida; Poales; Poaceae
Exons: 3
Source: RefSeq, a predicted model, not a curated record
CUUCGUAUCUGCAAUGCUCGCAUUGGUUGCUUACAGUUUUAUUCAACUAUUCUCCCUGUCGGGCCUUGGAGUAUUCGAUUUGAUGUCUCGGUUACACUGCGUUGAGUUGCUGAUUAUAGGAUUGACUUCAAGGAUAAAUAGAAGCCGGUGGCUUCUGAGGGCCAUCUUGAUCUGAACAAAGUGCCCAGCAUCACUUGCACAGGCAUACAACUGGAACAUACCAAGGACUGCUCAGGGUUCCUAGCUCUUCGUAUCAUAACAAUUGCACGACCGCUUACUCCUUAUGAAUCAGUGGUUGAUGGUUCUGCUGGAUCUCGCAGAACACGUAUGACAUACUCGUCAACAAGUGAUUGCCGUUAAUGAAGAUCACGGUGAAUCGUCACGCGAAGGACGACGUUGAGAUGGUGAUGCACUGGGACAACAUCGGCCUCCAUGCUGGCACAACUGACGUGGCAAUGGAAGAUUCGUACCUGAUGCUGGAGUUGCCGGAGGUUGGAGACGACGGACCCGGAGUAGGUAGCGGGCAAGCUGGCAUGGUGGCACAUCCGACACCUUGGCGGCGGGAAGCGGGAGCUUCGGCACCUUGGCUGCGGGAAGCGGCGGCUCCAGCAACUCCAACAGCGACAGCUCCAGUACCUUGGUGGCCGGAAGAGGUAGCUCCGGCACCUUGGCGGCGGGAAGCGGGAGCUUCGGCACCUUGGCUGCGGGAAGCGGCGGCUCCAGCAACUCCAACAGCGACAGCUCCAGUACCUUGGUGGCCGGAAGAGGUAGCUCCGGCACCUUGGCGGCGGGAAGCGGGAGCUUCGGCACCUUGGCUGCGGGAAGCGGCGGCUCCAGCAACUCCAACAACGACAGCUCCAGUACCUUUGUGGCCGGAAGAGGCAGCUCCAGCACCUUGGCAG